This 264-nucleotide ribosomal RNA is filed under the name uncultured bacterium. RNAcentral describes it as "partial 16S ribosomal RNA". It matches the Rfam family "Bacterial small subunit ribosomal RNA", at positions 89 to 354 of the family's 1533-position model. The record is from RNAcentral.
UGGCGACCGGCGCACGGGUGAGUAACACGUAUCCAACCUGCCGAUAACUCGGGGAUAGCCUUUCGAAAGAAAGAUUAAUAUCCGAUAGCAUAUCAAGAUCGCAUGAUCUUGAUAUUAAAGAAUUUCGGUUAUCGAUGGGGAUGCGUUCCAUUAGUUAGUUGGCGGGGUAACGGCCCACCAAGACGACGAUGGAUAGGGGUUCCGAGAGGAAGGUCCCCCACAUUGGAACUGAGACACGGUCCAAACUCCUACGGGAGGCAGCAG